RNAcentral lists this ribosomal RNA (700 nucleotides) under Callionymus valenciennei. Its description in RNAcentral is "partial 12S rRNA". It matches the Rfam family "Bacterial small subunit ribosomal RNA", at positions 62 to 1328 of the family's 1533-position model. Lineage: Eukaryota; Metazoa; Chordata; Actinopteri; Syngnathiformes; Callionymidae. The record is from RNAcentral.
CGUGAGGAUGCCCACAAUCUUCUAAAGAAGACUAGGAGCUGGUAUCAGGCACACUCUGUUGCCCACGACACCUUGCUUAGCCACACCCCUAAGGGUAUUCAGCAGUAACAAACAUUAAGCUAUGAGUGAAAACUUGACUUAAUUACAGUUAAUAGGGCCGGUAAAACUCGUGCCAGCCACCGCGGUUAUACGAGAGACCCAAAUUGAUUGACAACGGCGUAAAGGGUGGUUAAAAUAUAUUCUACUAGGGCCGAACUAGCCCCUGACUGUUAUACGUUACGGAAUAAAGAAGAACUUAAACGAAGGUAGCCCUAAAAUUUUGAAGCCACGAAAGCUAGGAAACAAACUGGGAUUAGAUACCCCAUUAUGCCUAGCCAUAAACCCCGAUGAUGAGGCACAUCAAUCAUCCGCCAGGGUACUACAGGCGUAAGCUUAAAACCCAAAGGACUUGGCGGUGCUUUAGACCCCCCUAGAGGAGCCUGUUCUAUAACCGAUAAUCCCCGUUAAACCUCACCCUCUUUUGCUUUAUCCGCCUAUAUACCACCGUCGUCAGCUUACCCUUUGAAGGCUUAUUAGUNAGCAGAAUUGGUCUACCCCAAAACGUCAGGUCGAGGUGCAGUGUAUGAGAGGGGAAGAAAUGGGCUACAUUUACUAUAGUAGUAAAUAACGGAUUGGGUGCUGAAAAGCACCUUUGAAGGAG